This is a non-coding RNA of Mycteria americana (wood stork), 73 nucleotides long. Lineage: Eukaryota; Metazoa; Chordata; Aves; Ciconiiformes; Ciconiidae. The record is from the annotation of a GenBank genome assembly.
GGCUCGUUGGUCUAGGGCUGUGAUUCUUGCUUGGGGUACGAGAGGUUCCCAGGUUCAACUCCUGGAUGAGCCC